RNAcentral lists this ribosomal RNA (465 nucleotides) under uncultured bacterium. Its description in RNAcentral is "partial 16S ribosomal RNA". It matches the Rfam family "Bacterial small subunit ribosomal RNA", at positions 338 to 795 of the family's 1533-position model. The record is from RNAcentral.
CCUACGGGAGGCAGCAGUAGGGAAUCUUCCACAAUGGGCGAAAGCCUGAUGGAGCAACGCCGCGUGGGUGAAGAAGGUCUUCGGAUCGUAAAACCCUGUUGUUAGAGAAGAAAGUGCGUGAGAGUAUCUGUUCACGUUUCGACGGUAUCUAACCAGAAAGCCACGGCUAACUACGUGCCAGCAGCCGCGGUAAUACGUAGGUGGCAAGCGUUAUCCGGAUUUAUUGGGCGUAAAGGGAACGCAGGCGGUCUUUUAAGUCUGAUGUGAAAGCCUUCGGCUUAACCGGAGUAGUGCAUUGGAAACUGGGAGACGUGAGUGCAGAAGAGGAGGGUGGAACUCCAUGUGUAGCGGUGAAAUGCGUAGAUAUAUGGAAGAACACCAGUGGCGAAAGCAGCUCUCUGGUCUGUAACUGACACUGAGGUUCGAAAGCGUGGGUAGCAAACAGGAUUAGAUACCCCAGUAGUC